AAAAUGUUCCAGAGAAGGAUGUGAUAAAAAUCAAAAUGCUGAAUGACACUGGAGAAGAGAAUAGUGGCCCUUUGCCCUGCUCCCUUUGCUCUGGUUCAUGACAUUUCCUUUACCAGAAAUGUACAUUCCUAAAUUCUGAUGUGCCGUGGCUGAGAUACAAGGUCUUAUUGAAGAAUAGAACCUUCAUUGGAAUCAAUUCCCUGCUACAGGCAUCCUGGCUGGCAGCACUCAAUCUCCUUCCUUGGAGUAAGACCACCUCAGUACCUGGCUUCUGUCUCCAUCCAGCCUGCUUGCUGGCUGUCUCCUUUCCAUCCCUUUUCUGCAUCCUAAAUAUUCCAGAGGCAAAGCCUGUGAGGGUUUCUGUGCCUCGUAUGGAUUAAGUAGGAUGCAAAAUCACCAGCUUUGGAUAACUUUAGAGCUAUGCUAAUUCCUGCUUGGCAAGCCACUGGCGGAGUGGGUAGAGGAAUCCUCAAUUUUAAAUCAUUAUGGAGGAAGCUGUUCCAAAUGCUACAGUGCUACUGUGCUCAUGAGGUAAUCAAGUGGUUUUAAAGCUACCCUUGCGACUGAAGCAUGGUGUGUCUGGGGUUUCCUCAUGCACAACUGAUCCCUGGGUUCGAGCUUGCCUUUCUAGAGUUGUUGAUCCCUUAUAUUAUUUUAGAUUCUGCCAAGGGGCAAAUUUGAAGAAGGAUCUCCAAAAUAUUAGUAGAGAGUGAGUACAAACUUGGCUCAAAGCUGCCUUUGUGCCCUGAAGCUAGAACAGCACUGAGUGCUGCUGGGCUAUAGCCAAUGAUCUGGUCUUCAAAUCAGUACUGAUAUAUAAUAUAACUAACAGUCUCAAUAGCAGAGCUGCACAUUUUGUUAAGCUGUAUAGUGAUUUUGUGAUAAAAAGCUUUUCCUUCAAAAAUUGUGAUUGGGACACUAAGCUUAUUUAUAUUUGUAUUCUAUACAACACAGGAGUCUCUGUCACCAGAACAGAAUAGCUUUUACAUGUGUUUGCUGCAUGAUGAAAUGAUAGGCAAACAGCCAAAGAAAAUUGUGAAGAUCAG
RNAcentral lists this long non-coding RNA (1046 nucleotides) under Numida meleagris (helmeted guineafowl). RNAcentral describes it as "lncRNA (ENSNMEG00000007060.1)". The record is from RNAcentral. Lineage: Eukaryota; Metazoa; Chordata; Aves; Galliformes; Numididae.